Molecule: ribosomal RNA, 769 nt
Filed under: Streptococcus oralis subsp. tigurinus
Lineage: Bacteria; Bacillati; Bacillota; Bacilli; Lactobacillales; Streptococcaceae
Description: bacterial SSU rRNA
Rfam family: Bacterial small subunit ribosomal RNA
Source: RNAcentral
CUGGCGGCGUGCCUAAUACAUGCAAGUAGAACGCUGAAGAGAGGAGCUUGCUCUUCUUGGAUGAGUUGCGAACGGGUGAGUAACGCGUAGGUAACCUGCCUGGUAGCGGGGGAUAACUAUUGGAAACGAUAGCUAAUACCGCAUAAAAUGGAUUAUCGCAUGAUAAUCCAUUGAAAGGUGCAAAUGCAUCACUACCAGAUGGACCUGCGUUGUAUUAGCUAGUUGGUGGGGUAACGGCUCACCAAGGCGACGAUACAUAGCCGACCUGAGAGGGUGAUCGGCCACACUGGGACUGAGACACGGCCCAGACUCCUACGGGAGGCAGCAGUAGGGAAUCUUCGGCAAUGGACGGAAGUCUGACCGAGCAACGCCGCGUGAGUGAAGAAGGUUUUCGGAUCGUAAAGCUCUGUUGUAAGAGAAGAACGAGUGUGAGAGUGGAAAGUUCACACUGUGACGGUAUCUUACCAGAAAGGGACGGCUAACUACGUGCCAGCAGCCGCGGUAAUACGUAGGUCCCGAGCGUUGUCCGGAUUUAUUGGGCGUAAAGCGAGCGCAGGCGGUUAGAUAAGUCUGAAGUUAAAGGCUGUGGCUUAACCAUAGUACGCUUUGGAAACUGUUUAACUUGAGUGCAAGAGGGGAGAGUGGAAUUCCAUGUGUAGCGGUGAAAUGCGUAGAUAUAUGGAGGAACACCGGUGGCGAAAGCGGCUCUCUGGCUUGUAACUGACGCUGAGGCUCGAAAGCGUGGGGAGCAAACAGGAUUAGAUACCCU